RNAcentral lists this ribosomal RNA (410 nucleotides) under Bacillus sp. (in: firmicutes). RNAcentral's name for it is "bacterial SSU rRNA". It matches the Rfam family "Bacterial small subunit ribosomal RNA", at positions 392 to 795 of the family's 1533-position model. The record is from RNAcentral. Lineage: Bacteria; Bacillati; Bacillota; Bacilli; Caryophanales; Bacillaceae.
ACACGCCGCGUGAGUGAUGAAGGCUUUCGGGUCGUAAACUCUGUUGUUAGGGAAGAACAAGUACAAGAGUAACUGCUUGUACCUUGACGGUACCUAACCAGAAAGCCACGGCUAACUACGUGCCAGCAGCCGCGGUAAUACGUAGGUGGCAAGCGUUAUCCGGAAUUAUUGGGCGUAAAGCGCGCGCAGGCGGUUUCUUAAGUCUGAUGUGAAAGCCCACGGCUCAACCGUGGAGGGUCAUUGGAAACUGGGGAACUUGAGUGCAGAAGAGAAAAGCGGAAUUCCACGUGUAGCGGUGAAAUGCGUAGAGAUGUGGAGGAACACCAGUGGCGAAGGCGGCUUUUUGGUCUGUAACUGACGCUGAGGCGCGAAAGCGUGGGGAGCAAACAGGAUUAGAUACCCCGGUAGAA